This is a long non-coding RNA of Salvia splendens (bonfire salvia), 807 nucleotides long. RefSeq lists it as uncharacterized. Lineage: Eukaryota; Viridiplantae; Streptophyta; Magnoliopsida; Lamiales; Lamiaceae. The transcript is spliced from 2 exons. The record is from RefSeq and is a predicted model, not a curated record.
AGCCACAAAUGCACAGAUUAUUAUCUUGGGCUGUUUUUUUAGAUAAAAAAGCUGCAUCAAUUAGGCAACCCACAAAAAGGCACGCAAAUUUCAUUAUUCCACUUGUGGUUUCUCAAAUCUUCCCACAGAAGCCAUUUUUGCGUUCAUUUGCUCUCAAACCCUAGCUUCAAAUUCAAUUGUGCAUCUCUGUUUUUUGUUGUGAGUAGUUCAAGUCGUCGAUUUGGGAGGCGAUUUGUACACCGGUGUAGCUUGGGGAAUAGAGUUUUGUUGGGUGCCAUUGCAACGACACCCAAUAACAAGGCAAACCAAUUUCGGGCAAUUGUUGUGUUUCUCAUUCUUCUGCAGAUUCUGACCCCACAUGAAUUCUUCUUUUCAUUGUUGAAACUGACCGAAUUUGCUGUGACAGGUCUUUUGCGGCAUUGGAUAUCUGCCUAGCACUGCAUACACACAAACAUAUCUGUUGCAAUCCUCCUGAAUCUGAGCUUCAGUAAAAUGGAGACUCGUACUGAGACAGUUGAAGCAUCAGUGGCUGUAAUAUUAGAGGAGGGCGAAUCUGGAUCCCUGAACCUAGGUGGAGGGCGAAUCUGGAUCCCUGAACCUAGGUGGAUGGUUUUUGUUUGCAUCUCAAGAAAGUCAGUGCUUUUACUUCUCUAUAGCAUAUCAUCUACUUAUGUUUUGUUUUUUGGCUAGUUGCUGGGAUGUGCUAUAUAUGUUAUUAACGCUGCUUGGAUGUGUGUUGUAUAUAUUAUGAAUGUAGUUUGGAUGUAAGUACCAAUAUGAAGGCUGGUAUUCUCUGCUUUGCAUCAA